Molecule: non-coding RNA, 468 nt
Organism: Ictalurus punctatus (channel catfish)
Lineage: Eukaryota; Metazoa; Chordata; Actinopteri; Siluriformes; Ictaluridae
Source: the annotation of a RefSeq genome assembly
CUCAACAGGAUGCUUUUGCAGCAGUCUCUGGUCCUCACCUCCUCUCUUGCCAUUAUUAUGAAUCAAUAUGAUUAGUGUUUUCAUCUUCCUGCCUUUCUUGCUUCUCUGGACUCCAGUUUUAACAGGAGAGAAUGGAGUCAGCCAAAACCCCAGCGUCGCCUGGCAUCUGAAAGGAGAAUCUGCUGAAAUGAAGUGCAGUCAUAAUAAAGGUGGAACCUAUAAUCAGAUGUACUGGUACAGACAGCGCCAAGGAGAGAGUAUGGAGCUCAUCGUGUACACCACAGCCAGUAGUGAACCGGAUUUUGGCUCGGUUGAUAAAAAUAAAUUUUCUACUGUUAAAAAAUUGCUGCAAAUGGAUCUCUAACUGUGAAGGAUCUGGAUACAGAGGACAGCGCUGUAUAUUUCUGUGCAGUAAGUGAACACAGUGUUACAGAUCACCUGCACUGCUGAACAAAAACACCUGCACUG